RNAcentral lists this unclassified non-coding RNA (316 nucleotides) under Hevea brasiliensis (rubber tree). Lineage: Eukaryota; Viridiplantae; Streptophyta; Magnoliopsida; Malpighiales; Euphorbiaceae. The record is from RNAcentral.
UUUUCUAUCUCUCUGCUAAAAUUCGAUUUCACAAUUAUUAAAAAAAUCAUUGAAAUGGCGCUAUUCAGCAUCGUUGAGGCUUUUGUGCUCGUUGUUGUUCUGUUUGCCGUUGCGAGUUCAGCACAGGAGGUUGGUUUAGCUCCAGCUCCGUCUCCAGAUGCCGGAGCUGGAUGCUCUGUGGCGAUUUCCGGUGUGUUGAUCGGAACCUCUCUGAUUUGCUCUGUGUUUGCUUUGUUGAGGAAUUGAAACUCCACAGGCUAUGGAUUUUUUUGAUUUUUUUUUCUUUCAAUUUUAUGUUUGGUGUGAUUGGAUUUGG